RNAcentral lists this transfer RNA (73 nucleotides) under Rhabdobacter roseus. It matches the Rfam family "tRNA". From Rfam's summary of the family: Transfer RNA (tRNA) molecules are approximately 80 nucleotides in length. Their secondary structure includes four short double-helical elements and three loops (D, anti-codon, and T loops). The record is from Rfam by way of RNAcentral. Lineage: Bacteria; Pseudomonadati; Bacteroidota; Cytophagia; Cytophagales; Cytophagaceae.
GCCUCCUUAGCUCAGUUGGUAGAGCGACGCAUUCGUAAUGCGUAGGUCGCAGGUUCAAGUCCCGUAGGAGGCU